Molecule: small nuclear RNA, 205 nt
Filed under: Crocodylus porosus (Australian saltwater crocodile)
Lineage: Eukaryota; Metazoa; Chordata; Crocodylia; Crocodylidae
Description: U2 spliceosomal RNA (ENSCPRG00005010558.1)
Rfam family: U2 spliceosomal RNA
About the family: U2 is a small nuclear RNA (snRNA) component of the spliceosome (involved in pre-mRNA splicing). Complementary binding between U2 snRNA (in an area lying towards the 5' end but 3' to hairpin I) and the branchpoint sequence (BPS) of the intron results the bulging out of an unpaired adenosine, on the BPS, which initiates a nucleophilic attack at the intronic 5' splice site, thus starting the first of two transesterification reactions that mediate splicing.
Source: Rfam by way of RNAcentral
AUCCCUUCUGGAGGCUCUGGGGUGUGUUUCGGUGCAGUUGUGCUUACCUAUUCAGAUGGACUGUAAUAACUUACUCUUUGGUCCUCCAUCGGAGGUCUAUAUUGAGCAGAUUCUUUUUGGUGUUGGGUGGUGGAACCGGAGCGUGCUCCAUCCCCUCCAUGCAUUGACCUGGUAUUACAGUGCUUCCAGGACCGGUGCAAAAAAA